GUGCCCAAUGAUGUCUACGUUAACCAUGCUAAUGCUGAAAUACUUUGAAGUUAAGUUGUAUGUUCUGAGGGAACC
Musa acuminata subsp. malaccensis (wild Malaysian banana) is the source of this 75-nucleotide non-coding RNA. The record is from Rfam. Lineage: Eukaryota; Viridiplantae; Streptophyta; Magnoliopsida; Zingiberales; Musaceae.